AGAGCAACAGAAUACUGUGCUGAGGCCCCAAAACAGAAAGGAAAGCUCACCACCAGAAUGUGCCUUUUCCUUAUCAAAAAGAAUUGCUGCCCCUUACAGGACAGGAGGACUCCAAUUGUGACCAAGUUGGAGCAGCCUUGAGCCACAACUCAGACUUAUUUUCAUUCUCUGCUCAUUGGCCAUUAGGAACCCGAUCCUUAUGAUGUUGUUGCUAUGAUUUUUCUUUUUAAGACCUGCAGUGACCUGCUGCUACCAGAACUGACUCGCUUCAAAGUGACGGAUGAAACCCAUAUGGAGAUAUUCCUGGGGUGGGUAGGCCAGUUGGAAGACAGAGUGUUUACACCUGAGAGAGGACUUGAGGAAUAAAAACUUUAGGAUGGGUUAACGUAACACAACCUUAACCAAGUGAUCCAACUUAAUAUCCUCAAUAAUAGGACAAACUGAUAUCAUCUGCCUACAGUUAUGACACCCUGAGGAGGAAACAUCACUUCUUUAAUAUUCCUGCCAAAAGAAAAGAAAAGCAUGACCUCAUAACCUGAAUUCAAUCAGGAGGAAACAUGCAACAAACCCAAAUUGAGGAACAUUCUACAAAGUAAUUGGGCUGAAUUCUUAAAGUCAAAAUCAUAAAAGAUGAAAGCUGAGUAAAUUUUCUGGAUUAAAGGAGACAAACUGGACAUGGCAAUUAAAUUUAAUGUCAAAUUCUGAAUUGGAUCCUGGCAUAUAAAAAAGAAAUGUAGCUACAGAAAACAUCAUUGGGAAAAUUAAUAAAAUUUGAAUAUGAAAUAUGGAUGAAAAA
RNAcentral lists this long non-coding RNA (796 nucleotides) under Homo sapiens (human). RNAcentral's name for it is "long intergenic non-protein coding RNA 1020". Lineage: Eukaryota; Metazoa; Chordata; Mammalia; Primates; Hominidae. The record is from RNAcentral.